Molecule: RNase P RNA, 343 nt
Filed under: Paraconexibacter algicola
Lineage: Bacteria; Bacillati; Actinomycetota; Thermoleophilia; Solirubrobacterales; Paraconexibacteraceae
Also listed under: 1 other name
Description: Bacterial RNase P class A
Rfam family: Bacterial RNase P class A
About the family: Ribonuclease P (RNase P) is a ubiquitous endoribonuclease, found in archaea, bacteria and eukarya as well as chloroplasts and mitochondria. Its best characterised activity is the generation of mature 5'-ends of tRNAs by cleaving the 5'-leader elements of precursor-tRNAs.
Source: Rfam by way of RNAcentral
GCAGCGAGCCGACCGUCCGGUCGGCGGACGCCCCGCUUCACCGUCGAGGAAAGUCCGGACAUCACAGGGCGCGGUGGUCGGGAAGCCGACCCGGGGAAACCCGCGGGACAGUGCCACAGAAACACACCGCCGAUGGCGUCGCGCGUCCGCGCGGGGCGCACAGGCAAGGGUGAAAUGGUGCGGUAAGAGCGCACCGGCGCCGUGGUGACACGGCGGCCAGGCAAACCCCACCGGAUGCAAGACCGAGCAGGACCGCUCGCAGGCUGCCCGCCGAGGUCCAGGUAGGUCGCACAGAUGGAUGGUUGCUCAACGACAGAAUCCGGCUUAUCGACGUGCUACGGGA